ACUCAAAUGAAUUGACGGGGAUUCGCACAAGCGGUGGAUCAUGUGGUUCAAUUCGACGACAACCGAGGAACCUCACCAGGGUUUGAAAUGUACAUGAAAUUCCGGUGAAAGCCGGAGCUUCUCACAAGGACAUGUGCACAGGUGCUGCACGGCCCUCGUCAGUUCGUGGUGUGAAUUGUUCCCUUAAGUGGGGUAACGAACGCAACCCCUAUUGCCUGUUAUAUGUGUCAGGCGAGACUGCCUCUUUUUAAGGGGAGGAAGGUGGGGACGACGCGAGGUCAGCGUGGCCCUUUGAUACCCUGGGCUACACACGUGAUACAAUGGCGCGUACAAUGGGUUGCCAAGCCGCGAGGCGGAGCUAAUCCCACCAAAACGCGCCCCAGUUCAGAUUGGAGUCUGCAACUCGACUCCAUGAAGUUGGAAUCGCUAGUAAGCGCAGAUCAGCUACGCUGCGCUGAAUACGUUCUCGAAUCUUGUACACACCGCCCGU
This 490-nucleotide ribosomal RNA is filed under the name uncultured bacterium. RNAcentral describes it as "partial 16S ribosomal RNA". It matches the Rfam family "Bacterial small subunit ribosomal RNA", at positions 899 to 1397 of the family's 1533-position model. The record is from RNAcentral.